This 438-nucleotide ribosomal RNA is filed under the name uncultured bacterium. Its description in RNAcentral is "partial 16S ribosomal RNA". It matches the Rfam family "Bacterial small subunit ribosomal RNA", at positions 30 to 507 of the family's 1533-position model. The record is from RNAcentral.
AGCGAACGCUGGCGGCAGGCCUAACACAUGCAAGUCGAACGAACUCUUCGGAGUUAGUGGCGGACGGGUGAGUAACACGUGGGAACGUGCCUUUAGGUUCGGAAUAACUCAGGGAAACUUGAGCUAAUACCGGAUGUGCCCUUCGGGGGAAAGAUUUAUCGCCUUUAGAGCGGCCCGCGUCUGAUUAGCUAGUUGGUGAGGUAGAGGCUCACCAAGGCGACGAUCAGUAGCUGGUCUGAGAGGAUGAUCAGCCACAUUGGGACUGAGACACGGCCCAAACGCCGAAGGGAGGGAGGAGUGGGGAAGAUGGAACAAUGGGCGGAAGCAUGAUGCAGCAACGCCGCGUGCGGGAUGACGGCCGUGGGGGGGUAAACCGCAUGCGCCGGUGACGAAGCGGGAGUGAGGGUAAUGGGGAAAGAAGCACCGGCGAACUACGUG